AAGUAAUUUGGGGAAAUUACACAGUGAGAACCAAACCAGGCUCCCUUCCCACUCAUUUAUUUUCCACCAACAUGUCAAGAAUAAAUCCAACAAGCAACACACAAGCAUCCUAGCGAUGCACAAACAACUAGCAAGCAAUGAUGUCUCCAACCCGCCUAUCACACAAGGCCACACCUCCUAGUCACACAGCUUCACAAUAUUCAGUUCCUCUGUAACACCCCGGUCAUGGGUUCCAAAGGAAACCAGACUAAACCGGCAGUAUUAUCUAACCUAACCAAUAAUUCCUGAAUAAUCCUUAAAUCUUAUUCCAAAUCAAAUCAAAUCCAGUCUUACAAUAGAAAUGAAUAACUUGAAUAAAUUCGAAAAUAAUCAGAAAACAAUAUCUUAAAAAGAAAAUACAAAAAAAAGUUCUUAAAGCGAUAAAAAUCUUCCUCCAUCUCUAAAAGCACACCACACUAGAGCUACUUGUCUAGUUCCUCCCAGACAUCAUCACAAUCACAUUCAUCAUACUCACCUGAAAGACAGAUUUAAAAGAGAGGGGUGAGUAAUUUGGGGAAAUUACUCAGUGAGAACCAAACAAGGCUCCCUUCCCACUCAUUUAUUUUCCACCAACAUGUCAAGAAUAAAUCCAACAAGCAACACACAAGCAUCCUAGCGAUGCACAAACAACUAGCAAGCAAUGAUGUCUCCAACCCGCCUAUCACACAAGGCCACACCUCCUAGUCACACAGCUUCACAAUAUUCAGUCCCUCUGUAAUGCCUCCGGUCCCGGGUUGCAAAGGAAACCAAACUUAACCGGCAGUAUGAUCUAACUUAACCAAUAAUCCUGAAUAAUCCUUAAAUCUGAUAACAAAUCAAGCAAAAUCCGUUGUAACAAGGGAAAUGAAUAACUAGAGGAAUCCGAAAGUAAGCAGAAUCAAUAUNNNNNNNNNNNNNNNNNNNNNNNNNNNNNNNNNNNNNNNNNNNNNNNNNNNNNNNNNNNNNNNNNNNNNNNNNNNNNNNNNNNNNNNNNNNNNNNNNNNNNNNNNNNNNNNNNNNNNNNNNNNNNNNNNNNCGUCUCGCUAAACCCAAGAGGAAGACGAUCACAUUCAUCACACUCACCUGAAAUAUGGAUUUAUAAGAGAGGGGUGAGUAAUUUGGGGAAAUUACUCAGUGAGAACCAAACCAGACUACCUUCCCACUCAUUUAUUUUCCACCAACAUGUCAAGAAUAAAUCCAACAAGCAACACACAAGCAUCCUAGCGAUGCACAAACAACUAGCCAGCAAUGAUGUCUCCAACCCGCCUAUCACACAAGGCCACACCUCCCAGUCACACAGCUUCACAAUAUUUAGUUCCUCUGUAACACCCCGGUCCUGGGUUCCAAAGGAAACCAGACUAAACCGGCAGUAUUAUCUAACCUAACCAAUAAUUCCUGAAUAAUCCUUAAAUCUUAUUCCAAAUCGGGAUCCUCUAGAGUCGACUUCAAUUCGGUUGAGCGCUGAAUAAAUCCGAAAAUAAUCAGAAAACAAUAUCUAAAAAGAAAAUACAAAAAAAAGUUCUUAAAGCGAUAAAAAUCUUCCUCCAUCUCUAAAAGCACACCACACUAGAGCUACUCGUCUAGUUCCUCCCAGACAUCAUCACAAUCACAUUCAUCACACUCACCCGAAAUAUGGAUUUAAAAGAGAGGGGUGAGUAAUUUGGGGAAAUUACUCAGUGAGAACCAAACCAGGCUCCCUUCCCACUCAUUUAUUUUCCACCAACAUGUCAAGAAUAAAUCCAACAAGCAACACACAAGCAUCCUAGCGAUGCACAAACAACUAGCAAGCAAUGAUGUCUCCAACCCGCCUAUCACACAAGGCCACACCUCCCAGUCACACAGCUUCACAAUAUUCAGUCCCUUUGUAACACCCCGGUCCUGGGUUCCAAAGGAAACCAGACUAAACCGGCUGUAUUAUCUAACCUAACCAAUAAUUCCUGAAUAAUCCUUAAAUCUUAUUCCAAAUCAAACCAAAUCCAGUCUUACAAUAGAAAUGAAUAACUUGAAUAAAUCCCAAAAUAAUCAGAAAACAAUAUCUUAAAAGAAAAUACAAAAAAAAGUUCCUAAAGCGAUAAAAAUCUUCCUCCAUCUCUAAAAGCACACCACACUAGAGCUACUCGUCUAGUUCCUCCCAGACAUCAUCACAAUCACAUUCAUCACACUCACCUGAAAGACGGAUUUAAAAGAGAGGGGUGAGUAAUUUGGGGAAAUUACUCAGUGAGAACCAAACCAGGCUCCCUUCCCACUCAUUUAUUUUCCACCAACAUGUCAAGACUAAAUCCAACAAGCAACACACAAGCAUCCUAGCGAUGCACAAACAACUAGCCAGCAAUGAUGUCUCCAACCCGCCUAUCACACAAGGCCACACCUCCCAGUCACACAGCUUCACAAUAUUUAGUUCCUCUGUAACACCCCGGUCCUGGGUUCCAAAGGAAACCAGACUAAACCGGCAGUAUUAUCUAACCUAACCAAUAAUUCCUGAAUAAUCCUUAAAUCUUAUUCGAAAUCAAACCAAAUCCAGUCUUACAAUAGAAAUGAAUAACUUGAAUAAAUCCGAAAAUAAUCAGAAAACAAUAUCUUAAAAGAAAAUACAAAAAAAAGUUCUUAAAGCGAUAAAAAUCUUCCUCCAUCUCUAAAAGCACACCACACUAGAGCAACUCGUCUAGUUCCUCCCAGACAGCAUCACAAUCACAUUCAUCACACUCACCUGAAAUAUGGAUUUAUAAGAGAGGGUUGAGUAAUUUGGGGAAAUUACUCAGUGAGAACCAAACCAGACU
RNAcentral lists this long non-coding RNA (2795 nucleotides) under Eutrema salsugineum. Its description in RNAcentral is "long non-coding RNA (ESAL_LNC000138)". Lineage: Eukaryota; Viridiplantae; Streptophyta; Magnoliopsida; Brassicales; Brassicaceae. The record is from RNAcentral.